Chiloscyllium plagiosum (whitespotted bambooshark) is the source of this 632-nucleotide non-coding RNA. The record is from RefSeq and is a predicted model, not a curated record. NCBI's taxonomy places the organism in Eukaryota, Metazoa, Chordata, Chondrichthyes, Orectolobiformes, Hemiscylliidae.
UGCUCCGUCAUGAACAAGCCACCAUCUCUCUAUUUCCUUUGUCUUCUUCAGUGUCUGCAACUCUCGCUAUAUCUUCCAGUAAUAUUUUUUAGUUUCUGCAGGUCUGCCUGGCUCCCCAGACAACCUAUUUCAUCCCCUAAGCUCCCUCAAUCACUGUAACACCCUCUGCUCUGUCUAAUCCUCCUCUUUCUCACUGUCUUCCAGGUACAACGGCGAUCCUGUAAGAGAGCAGUGCGGAAUGGGAUGUUAUAAAUCUCAGUUCAGGCUUGAGGACUACCAUUACCUGGGAGUCACAAAGGAGAGAACCUGAGAGAGAGCAGCACAGAGCGGGAGAAUAUAAAUCAGCAGCGAGGAUCGAGGCCGACUGGGACUUGGAUUUGGAUAAUAAGCAGAGCAGGAGGUUCGAAAUCAGCACCGAGUCACAGAGGGAGUGACCACGUGAGGGAGCAACUUGGAGCAGGAGCUUGAGGCUGUCUCACACCUGGGAGAAUAUAAAUCAGCACUGAGGAUCGAGGCCUAGUUGUACCUGGGAGUCACAGAGACGGUGACCCUGUGAGGGAGAAGACUGGAGUGAGAGCUGGACGAUUACACGUCCGAGGAGACACAUCACUGUGUACUCAGGAACUUCUUGA